UUUUUUUUUUUGGUUUUUUUUUUGUUUUUUUUUUCCAGGUGGGAUUUAAUUUUUCUGCUGACUUUAGUCAGACUGAGAAUUUGGGAACAGCAUAGGUAAGGAAGAGCCCAGGGUUGUUCAAAACCCAGGUAUACUCAGGCCAAGGCAUUGGUUUGUCGCAGUUUCCUGUAACAUGUUAAUGUUAAGUUGGGAGGACUCAGAGACAACAAAUCCUUGAAAACUGCAAUCCUCUUCAAUGUAGGCUGCUUACUGUGUGCACAUAAGAACUAAAGGGCCUUCCUUAGCAAAUGAGACUGGACCUUGCCCUGAGAAGUUGCUCAAGUCAUGGGUAACUGAGAAUCAACAUCAUCUGACUCCUCCAGACACACACAAUUGGAAACAACCUAGACUCUAAGACUCGGUUCUGUGUAAGCGGAAAUGCAAUCCGUAAGGUCUUUUUACAUUUAUUUAUUUAUUUAUUUAUUUAUUUAUUUAUUUAUUUAUUUAUAUCCCACAUAUUGCCCCUCUCUCAGUUCCCCUAUACUUCUAAGAGGGAAGCUCCUGCCUCUCUAACCCCUACCUUGGUGCAUCACAUCUCUGCAAGAUUAGGCACACCCUCUCCCAUUGAAGCCAGCCCUCUGCUACAUAUAUGUUAGGGGCCUUGAACCAGCCCACAUAUGGUCUUUAGUUGAUAGCUCAGUCUCUGGGAACUCCCAGGGGUCCAGGUUAGUUGGCAUGUUGGUCUCCCUGUGAGGCUGCCAUGACCUUCAGGGCCCUCAAACCUUCCCAUAACUCUUCCACAAAGGUUCCCAACCUCUGUCCAAUGUUUGUAGGUAUCCGCAUCUGUCUCAGUCAGCUACUGCCUCUCAGAUGGCUGCUGUGCUAGGCUCCUGUCUGCAACCACAGCACAACAUCAUUAACAGUGUGAGAGAUUGGUGCCUGCCCAUUGGAUGGAUCUCAAAAUGGCCUGGUCACUGGUCAUCCAUUCCUUCAGUCUCUGCUCCAUUUUUGUCUAUGCGUUUCCAAUCUGUAAGUUUGAAGAAGGCAUCUGAGUUGGCCCUGAGUCAUUUUCUACGUUGGAAUCACUGUUGAGACCUUGAUGGCAGUACUUGACCUCCCCACCCCCUUCUUCCUCUGGAGUUGACAUGGAUUUCUCAGUGAGACACAACUAGGACCCAGGGUACAGUUUGACUGUGGUUGUCUCUCACUCCUUCUUCUGAGUCUCUGUCCAUCUCUUUCUCCAGCUCCACAGCUGGGUUCUGAUUCUUUCUUCCUUAUAUAAGCCACUGUUGCCUUCCUCUUGCUGCUUUGUGAUGGUUAUUUUUUCACACUGAUCUUUAAUUCCUAGGCAGUUUUAAGCCCUAGGAAAAUGAAAAGUGGAUCUCCCAUCAAAGAGCAUUAUGGUAAAUACUUGACAUUUGUUUCCACUGCUCUAUGAAUUGAAGAUACAUUAUGGAAUUAGGUAGGUUUUUUUUUUCCCAAAAGAGGUAUUCAUUUUCAAAAUCUUGCUUUCAGAAAAGCAAAGCAUAAUAUUUAUAAUCUGUAGUUGAGAAAUUAAUAAGAGAGUGUCUUGGGGAUUUUGUAGCCCUCUGGUAGAAUGUCAAGAGAAUCUGUAACAGAAACCCUUGGUUAUCUGGAUUUAAAUCAUUUUCACUAUGGCUGAAUAAUUACUGUUGUAUUUUUUUCUAAAAUUUUUUUGAGGGCAACCGUUUUGUUCACUAUAAACACACUUAACAUUUGAGUCUUCCACUGUUACAAAUGGCAUUUUCCAAAUAGAGGAAGUGGAUUAAGCACACCGUAUCUUCGAAAAUUUGCCCAUACGCCCAAUUUUUGUUAGGAUUUUAUUAUGUGAUUAAUCACAGUAAUUUAAAACUAAAGGGGGGAAUUUAUGAGCUAUGAAUACAGAAAGAUUGCAAGGUUUUUGCAGUACAGGUUUUGUGCAUAAGUUAUGUAAAUGAGCAGUAAUAAGCCUUUGUAUAAAAGCAAUUGGAACAGAAGAAAAAGCGAUGAGUUGGAUUGAGAGAUGAGUGAGGCUCAAGGCUCCGUUCUGUAGCCUUGUGGAUACACCCAAUCCUGCUUUCUCUCUAAAGGAUUCAUUUCACUUCCUGACUCGAGGGCCCGAAUCAUCAGGUAGCACUGCACAUCAUCGUCUGGGUUUUUCCUUACACAAGCAUACAUGCAUACACACACAUGUACAUGCUUCCUAUAGCAUCUCAAGCAUUGGGAUGAGCUGUGGGUGUGACUUAGCUUCUAUGCCUGAGGUUAUGGCAUCAAACCUGAAUUACCUCUUUCCUAAUUUCACAGAUAGAAAAAUAGCUUUCAACCGUAAAUCCUGGUAAAGGUUGUUUUGUGUUGUUGUUUCUUAAUUUCCUUACAGUGUAGAAGGUUUUCUCUUCUCUUUAAUUUUAUAGGAAGCAUAUUGUGGCUUUUUAUUUUUAUUUGUUUCUUAAAUACCAAACUCCGAAGCUUUGGUUUCAUUAUUAAGUAAAAUAAAGAUGAUUUGAAUGCAAGCACUAUAAUGCGGUCACAGUUAGCCUGGUUAACCUGAAUAACUUUGCCAGGUUAUUCAGAAUGAGAAUAAAUAAAAUGUAUGAAUUGUUUAUUAGUAGACACUUUGAUUCAAGCUGUUUGGGUGGUAGUUGACCAUAGGUAACAGGCAACACAGGAGAAGGGAGAUUGCUGAAGAAGGCACAGGGCAUAGCUGGAAAGUUUUUGUUAACAUCAGUAAAGCACAACUUAAUAUAAUAUAAAACUUUCAGUAUAUUUUAUGGAUUAAUGGUAUAGUGAUUUUUGAGACAUUAAAAAGGAUGAAAAGUCAUGCUUUAGGGAUAUGAGAGAAAAUGUAGAUUGGUAAUUACUCAAAUGUAAUUUAAAUGAAUUAUAAAACUGUACUGGACAUUACUUGGUAGUAGAAUUGUUUUACUCUUUGUAUUCAUAGUUCUGGCUGGCAUCCAAAGACUGUUGAGUGAAUGAGAAACUGUUACUAGGAUCUCACCCCAAACCACACAUUGCAUCCAGAGUAGAACUGUUAAGUAGGGUUCAUCUUGUUUUGAAAGUCAUCUACUUAAUACUUUCAUCUAAUGUGGUUAGCAUGUUGUUACCAUCUAUUGAAUAGCUUUUGGUUAAUACUUUAGGCCAUAUAUGAUUAAUUAAAUGGCCAAAUGGUAAUUUAUUAUCAAGCCUGCCAUUUUAAAAUGAGAAAAACAUUCUUUAUUAACAGAUAAAAACCACAUUUUCCUAAAUAAGAAGACAACGUUUAGUGUUUUUAGAAUUCCAUAUCUUGAGAAUGGAGAGAUUUCCCAGUGGUUAAGAGAACUGUAUGCUCUUGCAGAGCACUCAGGUUUGUUGUCAACAUCCACAUAGCAGCUCACAACCAUCUGUAACUCUGGUUCCUAGAGAUUUGACACCAUCUUUUGGCCUCUCAUGUAUCAGGCCUGCAUGUGUCACAUAGAUAUACAUACAUACAUAGAUAAAAACACUCAUAC
RNAcentral lists this long non-coding RNA (3464 nucleotides) under Mus musculus (house mouse). Its description in RNAcentral is "long non-coding RNA chr12:53451004-53454468". Lineage: Eukaryota; Metazoa; Chordata; Mammalia; Rodentia; Muridae. The record is from RNAcentral.